AAGGCAGGCCCGGGCGGGAGGGCGGCGGGACCCGGGCGGCGGCGGCUGAGGGGAGCCCCUGAGGGGCCGCCCGUUGCCCGAGGAGGGGAUGGUCGGCGGUAAAGCGGGGGGAGGUGGUGUCGUGGGGGGGGGGGGUCGCGCCUGCCUGAGGCGCCCCCUCAAGGUCCCCCGGUGGAGGCCGGGCGGGUGCUGAGGAGUGAUCGCUCCCCUCAGCGCCCCCCCUCGGUCCCCCGCACCCGGCAGCGGGGAGCACCCCCGGGUGGGCGCCCCUAUUCCCGGCCGGGGGCGCCGCGGCGGCUGCCCUUCCUCCGCAGCUUCUGCGGCCGCGUUUUCUUCGUGCUUUAACCCCCGGCAGCGCCGCCUCGGCCGGUCCCGGCGGGCAGCGCCGUGCCCCCGCCGCUGCUGAAUGAAUGGGGCCGGCGGGAGGGCGCCGGGCCCGGGACUCGUUCGCCCGUCGCUGGCAGCGCCGCUCUGCAGGCGACGUGGUGCUGGGAGCGGCUGGCUCGCAGGCUGCAGCUCCUGAACUUUCCCUCCCUCCUUCCCUCCCCCCUUUCCCUUCCCUUCCCACUGAGCUGCUCAGCGCUCCCGGCGGGCUGGCCCCGCUCCCUUCUCCCCUUUGUUUCCCUCUCCUCCCCCCUCCCCCGGUACGAGCCCGUUCUCCCUCCGGGCCGUGCCGCCGCCUUCUGCAGCCUCGGUGCUGCCGGCUGGAAGGGAGCGAGGCCGGGCCGGGGCCGGCAGUCUUCCCCGGCCUGCUCUGACGUGGCACCGCGGAAGAUCGGUUGGCCGUGUGUUGACGUGGAAUAACGUGCAAGUAUGCUCUGGAGCAGCUGCGUCUGUGAAGUAUUUGGUUAAGAAUGUGAGGAAUUAGUUUAGGUUGCAACCUGAAAAAACUGAGAAUGGGGAAAUUAAAUCUCGUUCCGCUUACAGGUAAGAGGAAGUACAGAUUCUCUAUGUUUUCAGGUUGCUUUUUGCAAAUCACUCGGUAGCGCAAAAAAAAAAAUCAUUGUAAAUGAAGGUUUUUGGUCUAGAACAGUCAUUUCUUCAUAUGUGAAGGUGUCAAGUAAAUGACUUCCUAGUUGAAAUACAAUGAUAGUGCAGAACUGUCAUUUCUGAGGCCAGGGAACCUAAGAUCUCUUCCCUAAAUGAGUGUUCCUGGCUCGAGCUCUGGUGGAUCAGGCAUUCUGUCUAGGUCUGUCUGGAGGGGAUCUGGCCCCCAACUGUUCUCUGGAAUUCUCUCCUCCUCCGUCAUACUUGAGAAAAGCUGCCAAGGCUACAAACGACUAAUGAGUUAACGAGCUGAAAAAUAAUCAUGUCUUACUGUCUGAAGAAGGACAAUGAGAAGUUCGGUGCAAGACUGAAAUUCUAAUAGCGAUUUAUCCAGGAGAUUCCUAAGUGACCUUUGGACACGAGGUUAUUUACACAGCGUAGUACAGCAUAACCCAGUCCCAUCUUUCUGUUUAAAAAGUGAUCUGUUGUUUUUCUUGGGUCAGUUAGGACUGAGGAUCCCUGUUAUUAGGAUUUUACUUGUAGGGAAGAAGAAUCAUAGCAGUCAUUUUUCGUACUGUGUUCUCCAACAGAGAGAAGUAAAGGGGCCUGUAUCACCCUCAGCUCUUCUCAUCACCAAAUCAGCCAGCAUCCUCUAACCCAAGUGCACCUGCCUGCCCUCGUUCAGUUGAAAAGCCUGCUUCAUCCUUUUUCCUCAGCAAAAGGCUGAAAUCCCUUUUGUGUGGGAUUGUUUCAUGGUGUCUUCUAUUUCUGCCUGUGUUUUUAGGAGUAAGUCCAGAUCCAUUGUACCUCUGAUAUUGGUGUCAGAGGCCUAAUGAGUUGGCUAGAAGGAGAACAGUGCCCCGGAGGAGCAUGGGGUUCUAUUUUGGGGGGCUUCUUCCUGUAGUGGUUUGUUGUUGUUGGUUGCGGUUUCUGAGGAUAAAAGUUUCAUAAAUAAAAAUUCUCAUAAAAUACAUUUUUAAAGUUCAUGACAAUAGCCCCUAAUGAGUUGCCAGUAACUGUUCAGCAGCUGCUCGAUGCUGUUAAUAGAGGGCUUCGUGUGAUUCCUUUACAUUGCGUGGUCAGCAGAGCAGAUCAUAAAUUAAAUAAAUGUAUGCCCCAUGGUUGUUGGUGACUAAGGAAACUGAGCAAACCAGCAGCUGGUUUAACUGUGUGCUUCUGAAGCAGUAGAAGCUUAGAAAACAAAUAGAGGCUUCUAAAUGAUUGCUAAACUGCAGGCUGUGAUCCAUGAAGAGCUGGCAAACCACAUGGUGCCGACUACUCUCAUCUAGUUGCAUCUGUGUGUGUCUGAGGCCUUUGUUCCAUGAGGAGCUAGGAGGCCUGUAAAAGCAGCUGGAGCUGAGCAGGAGGCAGCCUGUGUACCUCUGCCGCAACUCUUCUGCGAGCUCCUGCUUUCCGAAAAGAUGUGUCAGUCCUCAUUCCCUUUCCUAAGAAGCGAGUCCUCUAAUUGAGGAAAACUGAUGAGGCCAGGAUAACCUGCGUUAUGAAGCAGUCUGUGUUUUCAGUGUUUGACGAGCUUAAUCUAUUUCUUUUUUUCCUAAUUUAGUCAAUGUGCUAAAAAGAUAACAAGGGGUAAGCAAAUCAAGUCAUGAUUUCAGUGCUGGCAGGGCAACAAUUUUUUGCAUGAGUGGUUAUUUGAGUUUCCACAUCUAGAAUUCGAAAAAAAUGUUCGCCACUCCAAAUAACAGCUCAGAAAUAAUUACCAGGAGCUGUGGAGAAUGCUGCAGGUAACUAUGUUAUUGACUCUUCUGUCAUGAUUAGGAAAUUCAUGAGACUUGAAGAAUCCUCUGCUUUCAAACAUUGUCAUGUUCAGACUGUAUUUUCUAAUCUAUUCCAAGUCGAAUUAGAUUGUUUGCGCUGUGAAUUACUACCUGAAAAUUGAUUUGCUUUUCUCAGUGUCAUUUGUCAAAUGUUAAAGGUGACCUGCAGUUGUGAGGCUGUCAUAUGCUGAAUAUUCUCUUAAAAAAAAAAAAAAAUACAGGUAGUGAGUGUGUAACACUUUUGCUGGGUGAUGUAGCUGUCUCACCUGCUGUGGACCAGACUGUACUGUGUUGAAAACUUUAGAAAGUGUAUUGCCAUAGGUAGUUGCCAAUUUGUCUGUUUUCUCAGAAAAUACUGCUUUAGGUAGGUUUGGAAUUUCAUUUCUCUUUUUGAAGGAAAACCUUGCCUUUUAGUUGAUAAAUUUGAGUUUAGGGUUAGGUUGAUUUUUUAUGUCAGCAUUUUAUUAGCGGAAUCACAGGAGCCGUGGUUCUGUGACUGAUGUGGAGUUCAAGCUAAACAUACUAUUUUUUAUUAAAUUCUACAAAAAGUCUGUGAGGUUUCCAUGACCGUGUACAGACUGGCUUUCUGCAGGUCUCACAGCUGUGACGUGCAGCUUGUGCUCAGGUAAGUGGUGCAUAGACUCCAUAGCCAGGCUGCCUGAACGCCUCUGCUGUGCAGUCUGUCACGCCACCGAAAUCACAACAGCAACUGUGGUUGAUGAGAAAGUAUCCCAGUUUCAGCGCCGCUGUCCUCCUUGU
Molecule: long non-coding RNA, 3524 nt
Organism: Oxyura jamaicensis (ruddy duck)
Lineage: Eukaryota; Metazoa; Chordata; Aves; Anseriformes; Anatidae
Exons: 2
Source: RefSeq, a predicted model, not a curated record